Molecule: long non-coding RNA, 349 nt
Organism: Leopardus geoffroyi (Geoffroy's cat)
Lineage: Eukaryota; Metazoa; Chordata; Mammalia; Carnivora; Felidae
Exons: 2
Source: RefSeq, a predicted model, not a curated record
CCCCAUCCUCCCUCUUCUGAAGCAGCUGUUUCUGGGUUUCUGGGGCCACUUUGUCCCACUCGCUGGCACUGGAUCAGAGACAGGAGGUGGAAGGAGAAAGGCAGGGCUCAGAAGGUAGGGUGCCCUUGGCAGACUCACAUCAUGGAGGCCGGUCACGGAGUAGGCGUGCCCUUUCACUAGCAUCCUCUGGGUCAUGGCCUCCAACUCACUGUCACUGGUGACCUACAGAACAGAGAGGAAAGAAAGGAAUUCAGGAUCCGGUCAGAUGCACCAGGGCACCCGAAGAGAUGUGAGCACUCUUGGGGUCCAGGGUUUUUUUUUUUCAAGUUUAUUUAUUUUGAGAGAGAGA